CCGGAGGGAAGCCGGGGAGGGAGCCUUCAGGAAGUGGGGGUAGGGUAUGAGUAGGGAGUGGAGGUCCUGUUUGCUCCGCGACCGGCCCCCUCUCCGGGUUCUUCGUGUGGUCACCCUCGAGGAAGCCUCUGGGAAAACGCCUUGGUUCCAAGGAGCGAAUCCAGUGAAUGGCAGACAGCAAGUCCUCUGGGUGACCAUGCAGGUGGACCUCUCCUUUCUUUUCAUCUGGGACUCAUGGUAGAUCGAACGCAGAACCCUCCGAGCAGAAAGAGACCAGGGGUGGCUGCCUGUUCCAGGAGAGAUUGGGGCCCAGGGCCUUUGUCAAAGGCUCUGCUCAUGCCCCUUGUACUCUUCUACCUUGAGGAUGAGGGAACUGAGGCACAGAGGAGUGACGUGAUCUUCCCAGAGCUGCACAGUCAGAGAGUGGUAGAGCCAGGCUCUGA
Hyaena hyaena (striped hyena) is the source of this 443-nucleotide long non-coding RNA. RefSeq lists it as uncharacterized. The transcript has 3 exons. Lineage: Eukaryota; Metazoa; Chordata; Mammalia; Carnivora; Hyaenidae. The record is from RefSeq and is a predicted model, not a curated record.